UCCGUAGGUGAACCUGCGGAAGGAUCAUUAAACAAAUAAAUAUACCAUCAACAAAAGAGCAACGGCGUCAGCUGUUGAUCUUUUGUUGGUACUUUCUUUACGGGCCAACUGCUUACGCAGUUGAGUUGUAGAUUCAACUGCGCAGCAGUUGGCCCUUAAGAAAAGAGAGACGGAUUAGCCGAUAGCUAACGCCAUCGUCUAAUCCUUCUCUCAGGUAACACGAUAUACGUUGACGAACACAGACUAAAAAUGUAAACAACUUUUAACAAUGGAUCUCUUGGCUCUUACGACGAUGAAGAACGCAGCGAACUGCGAAAAGUAAUGUGACCUGCAAACUUUGUGAAACAUCGAAUAUUUGAACGCAACUUGCACCAAGCAAGCAAUUGUUUGGUAUACUUGUUUGAGUAAUACAUAAAUCUCGCCUCUGCGGAAUUGCAAAGCAGUAAUGUUUUGUCAAAAUGAGUGACUUAAAGUCAGCUGGGAUAAUAUCCUAACAGUCGGCAGUAUUGUCAUAAGAGGAGGGAGGGAUGGGGUGGGGUUCUGGUUGGAAGGACAGCUUCAUCAUCUUCAUCUCGCAAUAAGGGCGGUCCGGUAGGCCUAACGGGGCCACGGAACGCUUAUUUACUCAUAUUCUCAAAUCAAGUAAGAUGACCCGCUGAAUUUAAGCAUAUCAAUAAGCGGAGG
This 684-nucleotide ribosomal RNA is filed under the name uncultured fungus. Its description in RNAcentral is "eukaryotic LSU rRNA". The stretch from base 258 to 410 matches the Rfam family "5.8S ribosomal RNA". Lineage: Eukaryota; Fungi. The record is from RNAcentral.